AGAGUUUGAUCAUGGCUCAGAUUGAACGCUGGCGGCAGGCCUAACACAUGCAAGUCGAGCGGUAGCACAGAGAGCUUGCUCUCGGGUGACGAGCGGCGGACGGGUGAGUAAUGUCUGGGAAACUGCCUGAUGGAGGGGGAUAACUACUGGAAACGGUAGCUAAUACCGCAUAAUGUCGCAAGACCAAAGUGGGGGACCUUCGGGCCUCAUGCCAUCAGAUGUGCCCAGAUGGGAUUAGCUAGUAGGUGGGGUAACGGCUCACCUAGGCGACGAUCCCUAGCUGGUCUGAGAGGAUGACCAGCCACACUGGAACUGAGACACGGUCCAGACUCCUACGGGAGGCAGCAGUGGGGAAUAUUGCACAAUGGGCGCAAGCCUGAUGCAGCCAUGCCGCGUGUGUGAAGAAGGCCUUCGGGUUGUAAAGCACUUUCAGCGGGGAGGAAGGCGNNNNNNNNNNNNNNNNNNNNNNNGGUCUGUCAAGUCGGAUGUGAAAUCCCCGGGCUUAACCUGGGAACUGCAUUCGAAACUGGCAGGCUAGAGUCUUGUAGAGGGGGGUAGAAUUCCAGGUGUAGCGGUGAAAUGCGUAGAGAUCUGGAGGAAUACCGGUGGCGAAGGCGGCCCCCUGGACAAAGACUGACGCUCAGGUGCGAAAGCGUGGGGAGCAAACAGGAUUAGAUACCCUGGUAGUCCACGCCGUAAACGAUGUCGAUUUGGAGGUUGUGCCCUUGAGGCGUGGCUUCCGGAGCUAACGCGUUAAAUCGACCGCCUGGGGAGUACGGCCGCAAGGUUAAAACUCAAAUGAAUUGACGGGGGCCCGCACAAGCGGUGGAGCAUGUGGUUUAAUUCGAUGCAACGCGAAGAACCUUACCUGGUCUUGACAUCCACAGAACUUUCCAGAGAUGGAUUGGUGCCUUCGGGAACUGUGAGACAGGUGCUGCAUGGCUGUCGUCAGCUCGUGUUGUGAAAUGUUGGGUUAAGUCCCGCAACGAGCGCAACCCUUAUCCUUUGUUGCCAGCGGUCCGGCCGGGAACUCAAAGGAGACUGCCAGUGAUAAACUGGAGGAAGGUGGGGAUGACGUCAAGUCAUCAUGGCCCUUACGACCAGGGCUACACACGUGCUACAAUGGCAUAUACAAAGAGAAGCGACCUCGCGAGAGCAAGCGGACCUCAUAAAGUAUGUCGUAGUCCGGAUUGGAGUCUGCAACUCGACUCCAUGAAGUCGGAAUCGCUAGUAAUCGUAGAUCAGAAUGCUACGGUGAAUACGUUCCCGGGCCUUGUACACACCGCCCGUCACACCAUGGGAGUGGGUUGCAAAAGAAGUAGGUAGCUUAACCUUCGGGAGGGCGCUUACCACUUUGUGAUUCAUGACUGGGGUGAAGUCGUAACAAGGUAACCGUAGGGGAACCUGCGGUUGGAUCACCU
This 1421-nucleotide ribosomal RNA is filed under the name Klebsiella pneumoniae. RNAcentral's name for it is "bacterial SSU rRNA". It matches the Rfam family "Bacterial small subunit ribosomal RNA". The record is from RNAcentral. Lineage: Bacteria; Pseudomonadati; Pseudomonadota; Gammaproteobacteria; Enterobacterales; Enterobacteriaceae.